UACAGAGGGGGUGAGCGUUAUUCGGAAUUACUGGGCGUAAAGGGCUCGUAGGCGGCCAACUAAGUCAGACGUGAAAUCCCCAGGCUCAACCUGGGAACUGCGUCUGAUACUGGAUGGCUUGAAUCCGGGAGAGGGAUGCAGAAUUCCAGGUGUAGCGGUGAAAUGCGUAGAUAUCUGGAGGAAUACCGGUGGCGAAGGCGGCAUCCUGGACCGGCAUUGACGCUGAGGAGCGAAAGCCAGGGGAGCAAACGGG
RNAcentral lists this ribosomal RNA (253 nucleotides) under uncultured bacterium. Its description in RNAcentral is "partial 16S ribosomal RNA". It matches the Rfam family "Bacterial small subunit ribosomal RNA", at positions 524 to 776 of the family's 1533-position model. The record is from RNAcentral.